GGCACGUCAUAGGCAUGUGCGUGGCAGCGGCAGCAUGUGUGUUGAUUUGAUAUUGUAUCGUAUCGUAUCGUAUCGUAUCGUAUUCGAUCCAGACUGACAGUAGCAGUUGGCUGUUAUUUACAUCGACGCACUUUGUUGCUGCGAGCUGUCAGUGUCGCGAAAACCGAGCUGCGAUAACGAUGGAAUGUAAAUCGGCGCCUCUGGCGGACCUGCACCGGGCACCUUCCUCCUUUAGCUACCGUCAUGUAAAAUAUAAAGCGAAUGUCGCGGAGCACGCGUGUCGAAUCGUGGGACAACGAAUAACACGAGGAAAAGAUAGAGAACGGUUGGCAGCAUAGCGGCUGCCUUGACUCGGCUGCUCGAAUGGGAAAGGUCGUACAACCGUAAGUGCAGCUGAACUCGACGCACCAAUCUGGAGACGGGCGUUAGGACGAUUAGGAAUUUGCGGCACAGACGUAUCUGCAUACCAUUCUACGCGAACAAGCACAAAUACGAGGAUGACGUAUGUAUGUAAUUGUUGUCUGUAGCUUAACCUACAUAUUUUCUUUGUUCGCGCGCAACCUCUCGUCGACUAUGUGUACGUACAUAGUCCCCGAUGUCGUGGGACAGCGAUAACGUCGAAGACGGACGAUUCACGAUCCACGAUUCUCUGCGAAGGAAGCGAACAAGGAAGAGAAGAAGAAGAAGAAGAAGAAGAAGGAAGUCGUUCCGGAGGAUCUCCGAUCUUCCCAAUUUCUAAAUCGAGGCACGGCAGGUGUCUUAUCGUUCGCGCGCGUGCGAUCAAGGAAACCGAGGCUUCGAAGUAGCAAAGAAAAAUCUGUCGGCGGCGGUGCAAUCGAUAGCGGUCUCCCGCGGUGAGUCACACGAAUUACUGCUCAAUUAUUGACUGCAAAGGUCCGAUGGUGUGCCGAGAUUUCUCGACGCGAGCCAUCUUGCACCAAAUUUUAACGGCACGCGUUCUCGACAACGACGACGAUUAUUCGUUCGAAAAGAGCUGAACGGGUGAGAAGAGGAGAGGAGUGGAGAGGAGAGGAGAGGAGAGGAAAGGACAAAGGGAAAUAUCGUGGAACAACGGAUCCACGGGAUGCGAUAAUGGUGUCUGGUUAAUUUCUGUCGCGCGAUCGAUUGCUCGCUACGAAUCGCUGGGAAAUCCAAGACGGCGUCGGGGCUGCGAUCGAUCGAGCAGGGAAACAUCGAGAAGCGCCGAAGCUCCGUCCGUUCGCAUCUGCGGGUCUUCCCCGAAGAAUUAGUCGCUGGAAACGCGUCCGCCGAUCGCUAAGUAGCUCGAAAGGUCGCGAAAUAGCGCGAUUUUCCACGUGCAAACGGUCCGUCGUGGCUCGCGAGGCUAAACGAGAAUCCGGCUGAAAAUCCUGCGCCGUUGCGAUUAUCGUUUCGUAUUUCGUGCCGCCUUCGCACCGCAACAUCCGAAAUUACUGGUCGUUGCGUUUCGAUCGUGCCGCCUCGAUCGAUCGAGAUCUCAAAAUUGCGAAGUUUCUGGCAGUUCGUUCGUCGCGGUCUUUCCUCGAAUAUAUUUGCGAUCGACAUUGCCAAGCGUGAUCGGGUGCAUACUGGAAACUGUUGGGGAAACGGGAUAUUCGAACGGCCUAUCGCCUAUGCCGCACAGACCGGCGUGGCCCCUCUUCCUCGGGCCCCUUUCCCCUCUUUCUAUGCACGGCGUCUCAUGGUGUCGUACGGCAUACGUCGCGCGAGGCACGCACACGCGUACGUAUCGUACGUACGUACACGCAGCGACCAUACGGCAUACGGUAUAUGCCCACACCCAACGAUGAUACGCAAUCACCUUAGCAGCGGUGCUCAUAACGAUCGGCUCGCGUGCUAUCGGUACAUUUGUCGAUACCGCGCACUGGCGGCGUUGCUUUUUUUAAACCCGUGAAGGAUUUUGCGGUCGCGUUACUCGGAAAAAUAUUCGACGGAUAUUCGAGGAUUCGUGCAACCGAUAGACCGUAAUUGCUGCAACUAUUGUAAGAAGCGAUAGUCGUUGGGAAUAUCAAUUCUUUCCUCCUUCGCAAUCUCGUUGUUAUUACGGAACAAUGUGCGUCGAUCGAAGACGCGUAGUCGGUAGUUCUAUUAGAUUCGAGUUCGCGACGUCCAACGAGUAGAUGCAUUUACGACAAAGCGCGUGGGAACAAUUUGAAACGUUGGAGCGAUUAAAAGAACUGCGACUCCUCUGGAUGCGGACGAUGCGCCGAUUGCGCAAGGAUCCACAGUCUAGCGGCGCGGUAACGCGUAACCUCCCUAUCCGUACGCGACCAAAGGCAGUACGUAUCCCGUGUACCGUUUAUCGUUUGCACGAAUGUUCGGAUAUCGAAGUUCUUGCCAUAAAAUCUACCGGUUUCCUUAAAAGCGCCUCGACCUCCAGCAACGAACAACGCGUCCAAGGUGUCGCGUCGCAUCGGUUGGUCGACCUCUCGCAGGAACGUUUGAACUUUGAAGAGAAACCGCGCGAGACCGAUAAAUCCAUAUCGAUGACCGAGCCCCUGUUUCCGCGUUCGACGAUGUCGACAUACCGCGACCCGGCGGCGGCGGCGGCGGCGGCGACGGCGGCAGCGACGCGACGCGCUGAAUCUUGCGUGUCGCGGCUCGUAACCUUGACCUUCCUCGGCUCGCCAAUUAGAUUCAGGAGGUUUCUCGUUCCACGGAAUUUAGUCGGCGCCGAUUCGAUCCGGGCCACGGAGAGCAACCGCAGUCCCGACGUCGACGGAUCGGCAAAAAGGAACGUUUCGCUUCGCAUUCCGACCACGACGUUCGCGCGUUCACGAUCUUACGUAACGAGCUGCAAAUUAAACGGAGACGUUUUCGUUCGUUUUCUUUCCGAGGCUGGCGAACGGCGCAGUUUCAAGAAGCCUAAUAAUUUCCGUCCUAUUCCGGUAUUUUUUCUUUACGUAACCGUUCGAGUUAUCAAUGAUUCAUCGCUCUUCUGGCUUAGCCACACGCGUUCGCAUUAGCGUCGAUUACGAGUCGAUCGUGCUCGCGGCAUGCAGCACCUCGAGUGCUGGCUGCUCGUGACGAACUUUUUCUUCGUGCCCUCUUAUCGCGGGCGCUCUCCCGCCGUACGUUCUCCCGUUGCGGUUGACCUUGCCGAUAAAGCCGCGUCUGUGAAUGGCUCGCGGUCGCGAAUGGUGCCGAGCUCGUCCUUCCCGAUCUUCUGUCCGCGGUCCGCGGUAUAAAUAAGACCGAUCUUUUUCGGCCCCCAUUAUUUUGUCGUACGUAUCGCGAACGUUCCGCGACCGAUAAAGAAAGCGUUUGUUUCGCGCAAAGAUCCGCAGCCUACUUAUUACAUGUACAUAGGUACACGCGUACGCGCAUAGUACCGUCGCGGGGUGUACAUGGCUGGCUUCGGUUUCGCGCGUGCAAGCCGCAGACAAUUUCUACACACGCGAUAAGUUGUCCAAGUUUCCUCGGCGUUGGCAGUCGACGCACAGUCGAUCCCAUAUUUUGCUAAGAUUUCUCCUCCUCGUUCUACUUGCGGUGCAGAUGCUCCAUCAUAAUAGUUUCUAUUUUCGGUCGGAGGGUUGGCUACACGCGCUCGGUAGGUGCAGAUGUUCGCCGCCGGGCUAAAAUCGUUUCGGGGGAGAAGGUCGCACUCUCUCUCUCUCUCUCUCUCUCUCUCUCUCUUUUUCUCUCUCGAGCUGCUACGCAUUUUCACGAGAUCCGACAAAUCGGAUGUAUGUAACGGGGAAACGCGUGAAACUCGAAGAACGCGUUGGGACGCUUUCGAACAAAAAUUCCACCGUUUCGUCGACGCGACUAAUCGCAUAUACGAAAAUUAGCUACGCGAAAACUGAAAGACGAUUUUGGCGCGUGUCGCGAUCUUGUAAAGCAAAACUAUGAGAUGUUCGAUUAUACUCGUCCGUUACAUCGGCCGAAACGAGUAGGGGAUAAACCGAAUAAAAAGAUGAGAACCUAUAUCGAGAGAGAAAGCGAAUUUCUAUUUAACUACCUGCGAUCGAGGUAGACGAUUCUUGCGUCGAGUUUCCCGGUCUAAGGACGACGGUCCGUGCUUACGACGAAGAAAAAAUUUUGGACAGGGCGAAUCGUUGUCUCGAAUUACGCUUCGGACAAUAGCGGGACCGUUCUCCUGGCCACUGCCAGCAUCGCAGCUCGGAAACGCGAUUGGAGUCGCGAUGAGAAUACAAAGAGAACGGUGCACGGGCGCCUAAGGGAGUAAACGAAACGAUGAGCGUAAAAAGCCGGAACGAACGAAUCGUAGACCGUGCGCUGUACCGCUGCCUUCGAGCAGCCGCAUCGGUUUGUCGGUUUAACGAGGCUGCCCAGGUAUGCGUCCCUGGACGGAGCCACGAUAACGUCGGGGACUAUCGGAACUCUUUGGAAAAGGGAUCGAGCAAUUGCUGCUAAAGUACUACGAAAUAUAAAUUGCCGAACGCGUCCCACGGCUCUCGUUGAAACGUUUUCAAGCGCGGAUGGAAACGAAGCUACCCCGGCCGCGCUCGCAGAAACUUCUCCGAACGCGGAACAAGAAAGAUCAAAGUUCUCAUCUAUUAAAUGGAAAUUCGAAUCUGUUAAGCGCUGUUUCAAGUUACGGCAUAGCAAUUUCUGAUCGGAGCCGGAUCUUAAAACCGCGUUUACGUAAGCAACGGUCGAUGCAUCCUUGAGACUACGUUGUGAAAACAAUUUCUGUCUAGCACGCGUCAACGGAACGCGUUUUCUUUCGUUUCCAGUUUCCAUUGUCGUUCGUUGGCCGUCGUCGACGUGGAAGACGCCGGAUAAAUUUACAAUGGGAGACGACGGUGCGCGCGUUCAAAUUGUAACUAAUAACAGCCGCGUUCCGGGGACAUUCUUCCAGCCGCCUACCGAUGCGCGCAAGCCCGCCGUAUGGACGAGAGACGAGACGAUUAAUUGAAUAAGAGCCAACUCUUAUACCUCUCGAUUCCCGCGGUCUUUGCGCUGUUACUCGGGAGUCGAGAGCACGAACGACCUGGAAUUCGCGCCACUCGAAGCUAAACGACGAACCCUGUUCCGGGACACUUUCCGUUCGACGCGGUCCUCGCGAAUGUCUACGAUUUUACUCUCACCGGUUUUCCGAAAGCUCCUCGACCGCUUUGGCGAUUCUUCGUGUUCCCUUCGAAAGUUUCCAAGCGGCGCUCCACCUUUGUUACUUACCUGCGCGCGUUUGAAAACCGAUCGCAAAAGCAACUCGUCCGAUAUCGGGGUUGCGUAGGUUACGGUUGAAUCGAAGCUUUUUUUGCGCAACACCAUCCAAUCUCGUGAUACGCAGUUCGGUGUAGCGUGUGACACAAACAGAACAACCGGGAUAACGUUACGCUAUACGGAUAUCGGAUUUCCCGUUCGUUCCCACAGACUUCGUUUUCUCGAGAAAUUCGGUGUCGAGCCGAGAUUGAAAUUUAUCUUCGAAGCCUGUGUUUCUCGAGCGUCGUUUUUAAUCGCUCGAUAAACAAGGUCCCGAGUCCGAAUCGAAAGAAAACGUUUCUCGGAGCCGUGAACGAUACUUUCGUUCGGUAUCUCACGAAUUAUCGUUCGGGCAAGGUUCUUGUUGUACCAUCGAGAUAAACGGGAUCGUUGACAAAGCGCGCGGUGCGAUCGAACGACAGGGCCGAUAAGACCGCCGAAAAAACUGCGCCCUCUCUACGCGCGAUAACCGAAAACCAACGCAACGUUUCGAUAUCUCGUUAAAAUAAUCGUCGAUUAUCUGCGAUCGAUUUCUCUCGCGAGUUACACUCGGAACGUUCCCACACGUGGACAUUCCAACACCACCAUGCUACACGCGCAGCGACGUAGGCGUACAAUCCGACACCGUUUAUUCGAAACUAGCUAGAAUUACCUAUCGAUGCAGCGAGGCUCUAGUAUGCGAUCGAUUCGCCCGUUUCGCAUUCGUUAUCGCGAUACCGAGCAGAUCCAAACUUUCGAUCGCGAGGACGUCGAUCGUAUUUAAGAAUUACGAAGAAUCGCCUGCUAAAAUUCCGAAUACGCGCUCGAAAAUGUCGCGGGUAAAACUACGCGCGACAACCGGCGUUGGAAACGGUCCGCGAACGGAGGAACGCGCGGCCAGCAGAUUUUCCAGCUCUCCGUUUCCUUUCGCGCGUCUCACUCUUCCUCCGGCCGUCCCUUUUCGACUUUUAACGUACGUGCCUCGGUCAAUAAUAUGAUGCACGUGCGUUCAUUCACAGAACGCUAACGCGGUUUCAACGAGCCGUGUGCCGUGCCCUGUGCACUGUGCACUGUGUACGGUCCGCUCGUAACUCGUAAUCGAGUAAGACACGGACACUAAGAGCGACGCUCUCUCGACUUGCAGCCCCAAGAUGACACAUAUCGUAUGCACGAACGCGAAUUGCAUACGAUCGCGUUACAAACUGCAAGAGCACGACCGACGCGACGGUCCCAUUCGUUCCAGCGUGCCGGCACACGCGGCCGAUAACCGUGCACCGAUCGACUCGCCGCUAAUUAGAUGUUACUCGCGAACGCUAACGACCAACGACGCAUUCCGCGACCGCGUGCUACGGAACGGGACGGUUGCGAAACGCGCACCGGUCGUCGAAAUUCUAUCCCUAAUUUCUUAGCGAUCGACCGCGGGAACCGUCUUUACGCGGAGGAAACGAUUUCUGCAUCGACCGCGCGAAAAGUUGUUUCUUUUUAUAACAAUUGUAUCCGUAACGAACAAGCCGAUGUUACUUCCGCACCCUUGCGAUGCUUUCGCUGCUUCGCGUUUCGCGUUUCGCGUUUCGCGCGCCUGUUAUCGCGUCGAAUCUUCCCGAUGUAUCGUACAAUGCAAUAGCGAUCCGAGAGAUCUAGGCACGUACGACCGUGCUACGCAUUUUUAGACCACGUUCGAACAGAAGGGCCGAGCGUGUUAACCCUCGGUCGAAAUCCAAUUAACCGCUGUAAAUCGAUUUUAGGGGCGGUUGAUCCGGAAGCGGCGACCACGAACGACGGGUUGCGCCGGUGGAAUUGUUUUUCUCGUCGGGGCAACGCUUUCCGUGUUCUAGAAAAUUUCACUGUUUACCUUGUAAUCGGAUCACGUAUCGGACACGGGGUUACUUCUAGUCAAAGCGUCUAUUCUCGUACGCGGAAUUCUGAGCGUGCUCGAGGGCAGAACAUUCGUUGUUGCGAGCCGCAUCGGUGAGGCGCAUCGGCGCGGUGGUGUCGACGAGCUUCUAGCCGGCGGUCGUAAUAAAAAUAGCUUGUCGAUUUCGCAUUAAUUUUCCGGUAUUAGAAAUAAUCGAAACACCGCACCGGGGGAAAAGGAUGGAAACGAGCGCGGCCGCGAGCACGGGAAAAUCGCGCGAAUCCGCGGAAUCUCGACCGAACGAGAAGAAAACGGGGAUCGCGUAGGUGUCUACGCGCGCGCGACGUACGCGUGUAGCACGUGGAUCGGUCGGUGUCCGUCGAUAACCUUACGAUUUCUCGACGAUCGAAUCGCGUUUAGAAAUUUAGAUAUCUUCGACAGUAUCGAGUCUAUUCGCUGCGACCGCGACGCGACGUAUGCGUCUCCCUCGCGAGGCAUCGAAGAAACGAGCCUGGUUAUUAGAACGUUGUUUCGUGCAUCGCGGAUUUAUGCAAAUGCGCGCGAACGAAUGCAAAGUUCGCGAUCGCUUCUCCCAGUUCUGCCGCGAUAUCUACAACCGAUAUCCUUCCGAAUGUCUCGAGGGUAGUAGAGAUCGAGGUUCGCGAAUUGUAAUGGUUUUUGGACGUUUCGAAGCGACGCGGGCCGGGUUCGAACCCGUUCCUCGUACGUCGAGCGUCGAGCAGUUGCAUAAGAGAGCGUACACGUUGUAGAACGCGCAUGAAAUCGAUUGCUUAAUUACUGCUUCGAACGUUCGCUUCGACACGUUUCUUCCAAUUCCCCUCUGGUAGAAAUUUCGAACUGUCGAAAUCGGGGCAGUUGCGUAACACGCGUCGCAACGCGCGAACGAUACAGUUCGCAAGCUAGUAGAUUCGCAGCACGGAUUACAAAGUUGCAAUUUACGAUCUUUCGUUACAAUCGCACGAAUCGUUUGAACUGUUCGCGAUUUCCCUCUCCAGAAGCCAAUAUUUAAAAUUUAAUUAUUCGUCUUGUAAACUUUCUACUACCGGAAAACUUUCACCGCUUAUGUAUCAACGUUCUAUGAAAAUAAUUUCAGAAUUUAUAUCAAAAUAUACAUUUGGAUUGUAACAAGUUUUUAGACUGUAAUAGUGACAUUUCCAAAAAUUGUUUUUAAACCGCAGAAUUGUUAUGGAAUUGUUAUAUAAUCACAUAUUUUUUAAAUAAUUUGACAGAAGUAUCCUUGA
Megalopta genalis is the source of this 8265-nucleotide RNA transcript. RefSeq lists it as uncharacterized. The record is from RefSeq and is a predicted model, not a curated record. Lineage: Eukaryota; Metazoa; Arthropoda; Insecta; Hymenoptera; Halictidae.